Long non-coding RNA from Dromaius novaehollandiae (emu), 2213 nucleotides. RefSeq lists it as uncharacterized. Lineage: Eukaryota; Metazoa; Chordata; Aves; Casuariiformes; Dromaiidae. The record is from RefSeq and is a predicted model, not a curated record. The transcript is spliced from 6 exons.
UGGAUGCAUGUGUGUAUGUUUGCAUGGCAGGAGGGAAAGGGAGGAGGGGGGAAGUACUUUCAACUUGCAGACAAAUCCUCCAGUGGGUGUAAAAGGCGUUUGAAAUCAAUGGAGCCAGGUUGUGUUGCAACUGCCGAGGAUCUGGCUCAGGCAGCUGUAACGCUGUGCUGAGCUGCGGUUUGGAGAAACCUGAACAUGGCUGUACAGAAGAAAAAACAGAAAGAGAUGUUUGGUCGCAGUCCCGUUUCUUUCCUGUGUGGAGGACAGCUGUGCAGCUGCAAGGAGCGCUGCCUGCAAACUCAUCGGAUAUGUGCAUUUUCCCUCUCUUUGGUGGGUCGGAUCACAACAAUUAACUUCUCUGAAUGUUUGUGCAAGACAGUCUGCAAAUGCAGAAUCUAAACACUGCAGAAAGAAAUCUGCCUCUUUUGUUCCCCAGACUCCUGACUUAGUCUGCCACUCUGCCAAAGCUAGUUACCAGCAUGGCAGCUGAUGAAUAAAGAACAGGCUGCUGUUCUCUCCGCACGGGCGUACCCAGACCAUCAGUCAGCUCUGGGCUGUUCUGUGGCAGAGAUCCUCUCCUCCACUCCUUCUGCUGAUGCUGGGAAACUUACCUAAAGAGGAAGCAAAAGAAAGCAUACUCUGUGAGCAGGUUUAACUGAGAGUUACUGUUUCAUACUCACUCUGUGCCAUAAAGAAUACCUGAUGAGUGCUGAGGUGAACAACAGCUGCUCACAGAGGACUGAGGAAACGGCUACAACAACUGCUAUUAAAAGGUAGUUCAGGUCCUGACAGACUCAGAAGCAGACAUCGUGAAGCCACAAGAGAGGAUACUUUCUUACUUAUUUGGCGCAAGAAAAAAUCCCAGUUCAUUUUACGGCCUGGAGAGUUGCAUAUCAUCAGCCUGGAAGCACCCGAUUUUACCAUGCCAUAGAAAACAUUCAAUGCAGCUGUAACGUUUCUGCAACUGUAAUGUGAGACCUCAAAAUGUUCUUUGCUUGGAUAUGAAAAAACUUUGCGAUAUUCAAGAUGCACAGUUUGUAAGCAAGCAGGAGUGUGUGUGUAUGUGUGUGGGGAGACACCUUUCUCCCAUUUAUACUCUCAUUUAUGCAGCAGAUGAUGAGUCACAUUAUAUAAUUACAUAGAUAGAAAGUUAUUUGAUGUUUAAUUUUGCCUAGACAAAUGUUAGUUGCUUCCUAAGCAGUAUUUUCUCCCUAUCAGUAUCUUCCUAAUAGCUGUGGAUUUUUAAUUACUGAUAAUUAGUAUUUACAUAGAGCCUUUAGCAAACAAUUCCUGAAGUACUUGUAGUAAUUACAUAUGUAAAUUGUUAUGAAAGAAAAACGUUCACAGAUUCACGAAAGCUGGUGAAGUAGGCAGUAAGCAGAGGUCAUGUUUUAAUGUGUAAAAAAUGAGGCAGAGUUGGGAGAAGGUCCCGUGUUUUUCUGCAUUGUUAGGUGAAACAGAACCAAAUAAUUAGGAAUUUCUGUGUAACAUUUUUUUUCAAUAAGGACAGAAGUGAGAACAAGUUCUGUUGUUUUUGGCUUAUUGAUGCUGAAUAACAGAAUUUGCUGAAAAAUAUUUAUGAGAUGCCUUUUCUUACAGGGACUUAGCAGUCACAUAGAAGGGUUCAAGGAAAUGUCUUGCUGAGACAUUGGAGUCUGCACGAUACCGUCAAAAUGCAGAGGGAUUUAUAAAACAAGACCCAGAUGAAACAGAACUGAUGAAUUUCUGCACAGCUUUCAGUUACGAAUCCCUGUCCUUUCUCAGAAAUUGGGCAGGACUGAGCAUUAGAAAUACCAUCAUAUACACAGUUCAGAUGGAUAAAGGGAGAUAGCAGACUUACAACACAUGUGGAAAGAGAUACAAUCCUCUUUAUGUACAGACUGCAUAAUUUCUGCCUAUAGAAUCAAACUUGUUUCAGCCACAUCUGUGAGAUUUGGACCCACAACAGUGCCUGUGAGCCCCAGCUUCUGCGUGUCUGUUGGAACCAAGAUCACUGAUGUUAAAGAUCUCUUCUGUGCUUACACAAGAAGGCUAUUUUUUUUUUCUGUUAGAGGGGGAAAUUAGGAUUCAUUCCUUAUUACAGAGAUAAAAGCUUAAUUUUUUUCCUUGUGCAUGUUUUAGGAACCUGCUGAGCUGAUCAGCUCUGCCAUCUGAUGAGCAUUCUGCAGUGACAUGAGGAGUAGAUGAAUUAAAGGCUUUGUCUGCUGCUUGUU